Molecule: ribosomal RNA, 373 nt
Filed under: uncultured bacterium
Lineage: Bacteria
Description: bacterial SSU rRNA
Rfam family: Bacterial small subunit ribosomal RNA
Source: RNAcentral
GACGAACGCUGGCGGCGUGCCUAACACAUGCAAGUCAACUUGAAGGAAGGAGCAAUCUGACCUGAUGGUGGCGCAAGGGUGCGUAACGCGUAAGUAACUUGCCCAAGGUAAGGAAUAACGUCGAGAAAUCGGCGCUAAUACCUCAUAAUGCAGCGGAUCCGCAUGGAUAUGUUGUUAAAAGGUUUACCGCCUUGGGAUAGGCUUGCGUCUGAUUAGCUAGUUGGUGUGGUAAUGGCACACCAAGGCUACGAUCAGUAACUGGUCUGAGAGGAUGAUCAGUCACACUGGAACUGAGACACGGUCCAGACUCCUACGGGAGGCAGCAGUGAGGAAUAUUGGGCAAUGCACGAAAGUGUGACCCAGCAACGCCGCG